AUUGAACGCUGGCGGCAUGCCUUACACAUGCAAGUCGAACGGCAGCGCGGACUUCGGUCUGGCGGCGAGUGGCGAACGGGUGAGUAAUACAUCGGAACGUACCCUGUUGUGGGGGAUAACUAGUCGAAAGAUUAGCUAAUACCGCAUACGACCUGAGGGUGAACGGGGGGGACCGCCAGGCCUCAAGGAGCAGGAGCGGCCGAUGUCUGAUUAGCUAGUUGGGGGGGUAAAGGCCCACCAAGGCGACGAUCAGUAGCGGGUCUGAGAGGACGAUCAGCCACACUGGGACUGAGACACGGCCCAGACUCCUACGGGAGGCAGCAGUGGGGAAUUUUGGACAAUGGGGGCAACCCUGAUCCAGCAAUGCCGCGUGUGUGAAGAAGGCCUUCGGGUUGUAAAGCACUUUUGUCCGGAAAGAAAUCGCGCUGGUUAAUACCUGGCGUGGAUGACGGUACCGGAAGAAUAAGCACCGGCUAACUACGUGCCAGCCGCCGCGGUAA
This 500-nucleotide ribosomal RNA is filed under the name uncultured bacterium. Its description in RNAcentral is "partial 16S ribosomal RNA". It matches the Rfam family "Bacterial small subunit ribosomal RNA", at positions 29 to 523 of the family's 1533-position model. The record is from RNAcentral.